GACGAACGCUGGCGGCGUGCUUAACACAUGCAAGUCGAACGGAAAGGCCCUGCCUUUGUGGGGUGCUCGAGUGGCGAACGGGUGAGUAACACGUGAGUAACCUGCCCUUGACUUUGGGAUAACUUCAGGAAACUGGGGCUAAUACCGGAUAGGAGCUCCUGCUGCAUGGUGGGGGUUGGAAAGUUUCGGCGGUUGGGGAUGGACUCGCGGCUUAUCAGCUUGUUGGUGGGGUAGUGGCUUACCAAGGCUUUGACGGGUAGCCGGCCUGAGAGGGUGACCGGCCACAUUGGGACUGAGAUACGGCCCAGACUCCUACGGGAGGCAGCAGUGGGGAAUAUGGCACAAUGGGCGGAAGCCUGAUGCAGCAACGCCGCGUGCGGGAUGACGGCCUUCGGGUUGUAAACCGCUUUCGCCUGUGACGAAGCGUGAGGGACGGUAAUGGGUAAAGAAGCACCGGCUAACUACGG
RNAcentral lists this ribosomal RNA (467 nucleotides) under uncultured bacterium. Its description in RNAcentral is "partial 16S ribosomal RNA". It matches the Rfam family "Bacterial small subunit ribosomal RNA", at positions 28 to 506 of the family's 1533-position model. The record is from RNAcentral.